RNAcentral lists this ribosomal RNA (253 nucleotides) under uncultured bacterium. RNAcentral's name for it is "partial 16S ribosomal RNA". It matches the Rfam family "Bacterial small subunit ribosomal RNA", at positions 524 to 776 of the family's 1533-position model. The record is from RNAcentral.
UACGAAGGGGGCUAGCGUUGUUCGGAAUCACUGGGCGUAAAGCGCACGUAGGCGGAUUUGUUAGUCAGGGGUGAAAUCCCGGGGCUCAACCUCGGAACUGCCUUUGAUACUGCAAAUCUCGAGUCCGGAAGAGGUGAGUGGAAUUCCUAGUGUAGAGGUGAAAUUCGUAGAGAUUAGGAAGAACACCAGUGGCGAAGGCGGCUCAUUGGUCCGGUACUGACGCUGAGGUGCGAAAGAGUGGGGAGCAAACAGG